UGAGCAUGAAAUCACUAGUCUAAAAUUUUCAAUUUCUAAAGCGGAUAAUGUUGAAGUUGUUGGGUAUGGUUAGAUUAUCAAUAUGUAGUUAUAGUGACAUGUAUUAUCCUUGCUCCUGGGUUUCCUCUAACUUAAUAAUGUUGGACAUAUCAGAUAACUUAAAUGGACAAUGGCCUUUUGUUACUAGGUCUUUCCUAAAUAUCAAGAAUAACGAAAAACUGGAGAUAUAUUUGUUGAAGAGCACAAAUUGGACACUGAUAUUAAAUUUGGGGCCAUAUAGAUAUGACAUUGAGAGCAUUUAUGUUUUACUUGAUGUUCCAAAGUUACCCCUUAGCUGACUCUCGAUAUUAGGUGCCCAAUUGUUUCUUGACCUUGUGGUAGUCGGUGUCCUUUCUACGUGGUGUUUUGACAUUUAUUUAGCAGGAUUUUGAUUCUCUGGGUUACCAUUUAUGAUUAUACCCUAAAUGUGUUUUAUUGUGGACAAGGCGGACUUUAACUUUUUUUAGCGAGAAUCUCGCCUGUGGCAACUUUAUUUUCCAUUCAUGCCUCUAUGGUUUAACUUUCCCAAAUGGCUUUUUUGUCAUUGCCCGUUUACAUCAAUUGUUGUUAACCACUAUGACUUCUUUCUUCGCCUUGAAGGCCUAUAAAACGAAGUAUAAGACUGUCGUCCUCAUUGCAAGGUCUACAUUAGUUUUCUAGUCUCUCUCUCUCUCUUCUUGAAAGUAGCUGAGUUUUCUGUCUUUGUCAGGCUCUACAAUGAAUUUUUGUUCGGGUAGUGAAGAUGCAGAGAAGCAUGUAAGUAGUAAAACAUGCUUCUAUUGCUAUAAAGAGUUAAACAACUAUAGAUCUUGGGUUUCCAUCUUAGGACUCAUCAGGAUGACCCAUCUUUGAGGGGUUCAAAGUUUCCCAGUCGUCCUAGUGAUUCUGUUGACAUAAAUAGAACCCUCAUGUUUCCCUACCGAACAGCCCACAGAACUCGGCUGGUGCGAACAACCCGAUUCCAACUUCUCAAGCUCCACCUCCAAUCGACUACAGUACAAAGUUCCGCUCGAAUGAAGCAGACCAGGCUGGCAGGAACAGACCAACUGGUGGCAAUUCCAGAGUCCCUCAAACCCAGAAUGCUGUAGCUUCAUCCAGUAACAGUUUGACUUUGAGAGCAUUUGUUCCUGCCGAUGCCAGUGCAGCCAGUUCUUCUGCUGUAUAUGUCCCAUUUGGAAGUGUUGUAACCAUUGGCCUUGCUUCAGAUUCUUGGUCAUAUAUUGGUCAAAUGGAAUUUAUCAGUUUAAUACUGAUGAAUUUCAGAUUAGCCAGGAUGGUCUGUCACCAACCUCUCGAUAUGCCUUGGAGAUAACUCAAGGUUAUAAUCUUGGCACGAAAAUGUUGGCCAAUCUGAGAGAAGCUUGUCGACUGGCGAAGGAAGCGAGAGUUCCUCUGUAUUUGGCAACCUAGUGAAUGCUGAAGAAUACCCAAGAAUUUCCCUCGAUGUUGAUGAGGAACUGGAGGAUCUGCAGCCAAGAGAGCUUCAUCUCGUCAAUUUUUUGAAUCGACAUCUGCUUCAGGAACUGGUGUUGGUGCUGAAGAGGAAGAAGGACCUGAUGAUUUAGAUCUGUCACUGCAUCUUUAGAGUCAUGUUGCCUUCACCACCCUCGACAAAGUGUGCUUCAGAAACUCGCCUUGAUGCUUUAACUUUUAAUGUUGCUGUGCACUGAUCUACAAAGUGAAUGUUCAGUUUGUUUUAAACCUUUGUUAUAAGAAGUUACUUAUUA
Molecule: long non-coding RNA, 1766 nt
Organism: Hibiscus syriacus
Lineage: Eukaryota; Viridiplantae; Streptophyta; Magnoliopsida; Malvales; Malvaceae
Exons: 2
Source: RefSeq, a predicted model, not a curated record